GUUAAAAGCUCGUAGUCGAACUUCGGGCUCUGUCAGCCGGUCCGCCUUCUUGGUGUGUACUUGUUUGACGGAGCCUUACCUCCUGGUGAACGGCGAUGUCCUUUACUGGGUGUCGUCGCAAACCAGGACUUUUACUUUGAAAAAAUUAGAGUGUUCAAAGCAGGCCUUUGCCCGAAUACAUUAGCAUGGAAUAAUAAAAUAGGACGCGCGUUCCCAUUUUGUUGGUUUCUGAGAUCGCCGUAAUGAUUAAUAGGGAUAGUUGGGGGCAUUUGUAUUCCGUCGUCAGAGGUGAAAUUCUUGGAUUGCCGGAAGACAAACUACUGCGAAAGCAUUUGCCAAGGAUGUUUUCAUUGAUCAAGAACGAAGGAAGGGGGAUCGAAAACGAUUAGAUACCGUUGUAGUCUCUUCUGUAAACUAUGCCAAUUGGGGAUCGGUACAGGAUUUUUAAUGACUGUAUCGGCACCCGAAGAGAAAUCUUUAAAUGAGGUUCGGGGGGGAGUAUGGUCGCAAGGCUGAAACUUAAAGGAAUUGACGGAAGGGCACCACCAGGUGUGGAGCCUGCGGCUUAAUUUGACUCAACACGGGGAAACUCACCAGGUCCAGACACAAUAAGGAUUGACAGAUUGAUAGCUCUUUCUUGAUCUUGUGGUUGGUGGUGCAUGGCCGUUCUUAGUUGGUGGAGUGAUUUGUCUGGUUAAUUCCGAUAACGAACGAGACCUUAACCUGCUAAAUAGACCAGCCGGCUUUGGCUAGCUGCUGUCUUCUUAGAGGGACUAUCAGCGUUUAGCUGAUGGAAGUUUGAGGCAAUAACAGGUCUGUGAUGCCCUUAGAUGUUCUGGGCCGCACGCGCGCUACACUGACAGAGCCAGCGAGUCUACCACCUUUGCCGGAAGGCAUGGGUAAUCUUGUGAAACUCUGUCGUGAUGGGGAUAGAACAUUGCAAUUAUUGUUCUUCACGAGGAAUA
This 965-nucleotide ribosomal RNA is filed under the name uncultured eukaryote. Its description in RNAcentral is "SSU rRNA". It matches the Rfam family "Eukaryotic small subunit ribosomal RNA", at positions 618 to 1612 of the family's 1831-position model. The record is from RNAcentral.